UUGAUAAGCGUGAGGUCGGAGGUUCAAGUCCUCCCAGGCCCACCAAUUUAUGCUCGUUUUUUGCUUAUCCAAGAGUAUGAAGCUUAAGCGUAUUAAAGCCUCUUCAAUCUUUGUUUAUUUUUAAAGAUUUAAUUUUAUUAUUCAGAGAUUGUUUGUUAAAUUUAUCCCAUUAAGCUUCCAAAGAGGUUUUGUCCCUUCAGUGGUACAGAUAAAUUUACAUGAUACAAAUCAAAACAGGACAGGUAAUUCAAGUUGAUGAAUUUGGUUAUGGUUGAUUUGAGAGAGCAUUAUUUAGGGGCCGUAGCUCAGCUGGGA
RNAcentral lists this unclassified non-coding RNA (315 nucleotides) under uncultured Bartonella sp. RNAcentral describes it as "partial 16S-23S ribosomal RNA intergenic spacer". Lineage: Bacteria; Pseudomonadati; Pseudomonadota; Alphaproteobacteria; Hyphomicrobiales; Bartonellaceae. The record is from RNAcentral.